Molecule: ribosomal RNA, 370 nt
Filed under: uncultured bacterium
Lineage: Bacteria
Description: bacterial SSU rRNA
Rfam family: Bacterial small subunit ribosomal RNA
Source: RNAcentral
UGGAAUGGGCGCAGCCUGACCGCCUGCCGCGUGAGUGAUGAAGGCCUUAGGGUUGUAAAGCUCUUUUGUCCGGGAAGAUAAUGACUGUGCCGGAAGAAUAAGCCCCGGCUAACUUCGUGCCAGCAGCCGCGGUAAUACGAAGGGGGCUAGCGUUGUUCGGAAUCACUGGGCGUAAAGCGCACGUAGGCGGACCGUUAAGUCGGAGGUGAAAGCCUGGAGCUCAACUCCAGAACUGCCUUCGAUACUGGCGAUCUUGAGUAUGGUAGAGGUUGGUGGAACUCCGAGUGUAGAGGUGAAAUUCGUAGAUAUUCGGAAGAACACCAGUGGCGAAUGCGGCCAACUGGACCAUUACUGACGCUGAGGUGCGAAA